CCUGUACUACCGAUAACCGUUUGAGAGAAGGGAUGACACAGUAGGAUAAGCUAAGCACACUGUUGGUUAUGUGUGCCCAAGCAUUGAGGCAGUCAAAGUAGGCAAAUCCGCUUUGAUAAUGCUGGGAUGUGAUGGGGAGCGAAAUUUAGUAGCGAAGUAGCUGAUUUCACACUGUCAAGAAAAGUCUCUAUCGAGGUUAAAGGUACCCGUACCGCAAACCGACACAGGUGGGUGAGGAGAGUAUCCUAAGGCCAGCGAGAGAACUGUUGUUAAGGAACUCGGCAAAAUGACCCCGUAACUUAGGGAUAAGGGGUGCCACCAU
Molecule: ribosomal RNA, 322 nt
Filed under: Clostridioides difficile
Lineage: Bacteria; Bacillati; Bacillota; Clostridia; Peptostreptococcales; Peptostreptococcaceae
Description: partial 23S ribosomal RNA
Rfam family: Bacterial large subunit ribosomal RNA
Source: RNAcentral